RNAcentral lists this ribosomal RNA (404 nucleotides) under Actinomycetes bacterium. RNAcentral's name for it is "Actinobacteria bacterium partial 16S ribosomal RNA". It matches the Rfam family "Bacterial small subunit ribosomal RNA", at positions 355 to 776 of the family's 1533-position model. The record is from RNAcentral. Lineage: Bacteria; Bacillati; Actinomycetota; Actinomycetes.
UGGGGAAUAUUGGACAAUGGGCGCAAGCCUGAUCCAGCCAUGCCGCGUGAGUGAUGAAGGCCCUAGGGUUGUAAAGCUCUUUCACCGGUGAAGAUAAUGACGGUAACCGGUGAAGAAGCCCCGGCUAACUUCGUGCCAGCAGCGGCGGUAAUACGAAGGGGGCUAGCGUUGUUCGGAUUUACUGGGCGUAAAGCGCACGUAGGCGGACUUUUAAGUCAGGGGUGAAAUCCCGGGGCUCAACCCCGGAACUGCCUUUGAUUCUGGAAGUCUUGAGUAUGGUAGAGGUGAGUGGAAUUCCGAGUGUAGAGGUGAAAUUCGUAGAUAUUCGGAGGAACACCAGUGGCGAAGGCGUCUCGCUGGACCAUUACUGACGCUGAGGUGCGACAGCGUGUCGAGCAAACAGG